This 787-nucleotide ribosomal RNA is filed under the name uncultured bacterium. Its description in RNAcentral is "bacterial SSU rRNA". It matches the Rfam family "Bacterial small subunit ribosomal RNA", at positions 8 to 784 of the family's 1533-position model. The record is from RNAcentral.
AGAGUUUGAUCAUGGCUCAGAUUGAACGCUGGCGGCAGGCCUAACACAUGCAAGUCGAGCGGUAGCACAGGAGAGCUUGCUCUCUGGGUGACGAGCGGCGGACGGGUGAGUAAUGUCUGGGAAACUGCCUGAUGGAGGGGGAUAACUACUGGAAACGGUAGCUAAUACCGCAUAACGUCUUCGGACCAAAGUGGGGGACCUUCGGGCCUCACGCCAUCAGAUGUGCCCAGAUGGGAUUAGCUAGUAGGUGGGGUAAUGGCUCACCUAGGCGACGAUCCCUAGCUGGUCUGAGAGGAUGACCAGCCACACUGGAACUGAGACACGGUCCAGACUCCUACGGGAGGCAGCAGUGGGGAAUAUUGCACAAUGGGCGCAAGCCUGAUGCAGCCAUGCCGCGUGUGUGAAGAAGGCCUUCGGGUUGUAAAGCACUUUCAGCGAGGAGGAAGGGUAGUGUGUUAAUAGCACAUUGCAUUGACGUUACUCGCAGAAGAAGCACCGGCUAACUCCGUGCCAGCAGCCGCGGUAAUACGGAGGGUGCAAGCGUUAAUCGGAAUUACUGGGCGUAAAGCGCACGCAGGCGGUUUGUUAAGUCAGAUGUGAAAUCCCCGCGCUUAACGUGGGAAUUGCAUUUGAAACUGGCAAGCUAGAGUCUUGUAGAGGGGGGUAGAAUUCCAGGUGUAGCGGUGAAAUGCGUAGAGAUCUGGAGGAAUACCGGUGGCGAAGGCGGCCCCCUGGACAAAGACUGACGCUCAGGUGCGAAAGCGUGGGGAGCAAACAGGAUUAGAUA